CCCUUAGAUGUUCUGGGCCGCACGCGCGCUACACUGAUAAUGUCAACAAGCUUUACCUUGGCCGAUAGGUCUGGGCAAUCUUCGAACUAUUAUCGUGAUGGGGCUAGAUUAUUGCAACAAUUAAUCUUAAACGAGGAAUUCCUAGUAAGCGCGAGUCAUCAGCUCGCGUUGAUUACGUCCCUGCCCUUUGUACACACCGCCCGUCGCUCCUACCGAUUGGAUUGGCUGGUGAAGCGUUCGGAUUGUGGGUUCGGAGCGGUUCGCCGUUCUGGGCUUGCGAGAAGUUCGUUAAACCCUCCUAUCUAGAGGAAGGAGAAGUCGUAACA
This 326-nucleotide ribosomal RNA is filed under the name uncultured eukaryote. RNAcentral's name for it is "partial 18S ribosomal RNA". It matches the Rfam family "Eukaryotic small subunit ribosomal RNA", at positions 1470 to 1796 of the family's 1831-position model. The record is from RNAcentral.